CCUCUUUCUUUAUACAUAUUUUUAUGAAAAUAUUGUCUAUAUAAACUUAUAUAAACUGGUGGCUGCUCUCUCCAAAACUGUCUUCCCUCCAUUUUAUAUCCAUUGCUACGAUUAGCCGGAACAAUGGAAUCAAACGCUCAUGAUUUCGAGUUCGCCUACAACCAUCCCGAAUUCUCAAACCGCGUGCUCCGGAUCAAGGUCGUGGGGGAGCCUCCCGAUGGCGAGGUUGGCAUCCAGCGGGACACCCACCAUAAGUUUACAAUAUAUAUGUAUAAA
RNAcentral lists this long non-coding RNA (276 nucleotides) under Musa acuminata (dwarf banana). RNAcentral's name for it is "long non-coding RNA (MACU_LNC006987)". The record is from RNAcentral. Lineage: Eukaryota; Viridiplantae; Streptophyta; Magnoliopsida; Zingiberales; Musaceae.